Molecule: long non-coding RNA, 372 nt
Filed under: Salvia miltiorrhiza (redroot sage)
Lineage: Eukaryota; Viridiplantae; Streptophyta; Magnoliopsida; Lamiales; Lamiaceae
Description: long non-coding RNA (SMIL_LNC010477)
Source: RNAcentral
GGGACUGUGCCGUCUAUGCUUUCCACACGGGUAAACCUUCAAUUUUCCUGUUCAUUAAGCUUAUCAAACUGCACACGUCCUCGUUUAGACAAUGUAUAUUAACAUGAUCGCGAUACAGGAUCGCUUUCUCGACUGGCAAGAGAAGGAAGUCAUAAAGUAACUUUAGCCACUCUUGAAUGUGAAGUAUUUACAAUCUCCCCUAUACACGUAAGUAAACAUGCUAACUUUAUCAAGAAAAUUGAGUUGUGGUCUCAUAGUACUUACUAUGUAACUUCCAUAUGAACAGGCUGUGAGCAAAACGCUCGAUUUUGAUCCAAUUGGAUUGAUCGAUAUGUUCAACUCUGGAGGUGCAACGGAAGGCUUAAGUUUUAG